Long non-coding RNA from Loxodonta africana (African savanna elephant), 3820 nucleotides. RefSeq lists it as uncharacterized. The transcript is spliced from 3 exons. The record is from RefSeq and is a predicted model, not a curated record. NCBI's taxonomy places the organism in Eukaryota, Metazoa, Chordata, Mammalia, Proboscidea, Elephantidae.
UUGUAUUUUAAGUGAUGUCAUAGACAGGAUUGUUUAAAUUUAGUUAACUUUCCAUGCUCUUCAGACUGUGAUAUUGUGUAAAUGUCUAUUCUGCUCUGGUUUGUGUGAACUGGGAUGUUGGGGGUGUUUGUGGUUACCUUACCUGGGGAAGUUCUUAUGUUUAUCUUGCCUUUUCAUGUGUCUUUCUGUAGACAUAUCUGAAGAGAUGGAUUAAGAAUGCUUUGGAUUAAGGAUUGUGGAGCACAUUUCAAUCAUUUUAGGAUUGUCAAAAGGAGGAUUGAGGAGGAUCAGAUCAAUAAUGGAGGCAAUGGUAUGACUCCAAGUGCUAUUGUCACAGAUGAAAUUGGCAGUAUUGACCUUAUACUAAAAGACAAGGAUUAAAAAUGAUUAUAUACAUCAACCUUAAAACAGUUGCAAACAUUUUAUGCAGUUACCUUUAGCUACAAUUGCUUUGCUUUUUAUAUUUGGCAAUUGUGGCAAAAUUACAUUGCCCAUUUUGUAACAAAUUUAUUUUGCUCCUUUCCCCCUUUUUUUGUUUUAAUAGGGACUAAUGUGGGAAGAACUGGCUAAUUUGUCAUAGUGCUUAGUUACAACUGUUAAUGUGUGACCUGCUGUUGGUGUACAUGUGGGUACAGGAUGUCUUUAAUUCCAACCAGAUAGAGUAUAAUAUCAAUACUGCUAAAUUUGCAUGUCCUCUGUGUGACUGAUAUAGCGUUGCUAUUUCAUUUUUUUUUUUUUUUAAGACAAAAUGAAAGCAAAAUAUAGAAUUCCAGCAUAUUGGUGUAGAUAAUCUAGAUGGGAAUACUUUGUCUCACCUUUCCCUUUAAACUAAUAUUCAUAAUUGAUUCGUGUUAAAACACUUUAAUUUACAAAUUGCAGACGAGAGCAUUAUUUAGUUUAGACUUAGGUGGGUUUAGCAAUACCAGUAAACUUUUCAACUACAUAACUCUUUUUGCAACCACAAAACCUGUAAUACGCUGUACAGUAACAAGUGUUGGCAUUAUCAGUUGAACUGUAAAUAUAAAAUGCUUCUUCCAAUUAGUCUCUAUAAUGAUUAAGUUUCUAAAGUUUAUCUGAACACCAUUCAGAAACUUGUUUUGGGGAAUUUGAUAGUUAUUGAUGUACAUCUGUUAAACUGAUGACAGACAUAACUCAUCAUUCCCCAGAAACCUUUUUUGAUUACAGUAUCUAACAUUUUGCCUCCUCUUUUUUGGUUUUGCUGGUUAUAAAGGUUUGGAUUGGAGAGGGCUCACUGGAUCCCAAUCCUUGGAGCUGGAUCAUUGGAUUCAAAUCAUAAUGUGGAUAGGAUAGGGAGGAUGAAUUACAAGGAUUCAUGGAGCGGGAUCAGAUUACCAGGAACAUAGGAGUGGAUUCCUGCCCCAACCAAACCGCAUUCGUGUGGAUUUUUUUGUUUUUUGUUUUUGUUUUUAUUCAACUUAAUUGGCUAUUCCAAAGAAUUUUUUUUUUCCUAUUUUUGACGAUUGGAGCCCUUAAGAUGCACGAUGGAAUUGUGUUUUGCAAUUUUUGGUAAAAGGAGCAAAGCGAGGACCUGGAGAUAAUACGCUGGAGCAAUCUCCUUGGAAGGAUUCAGCACGAGUAGAUGGUAAACAUUUAAAGGGGAAAAGGGGGGGUUUGUUUAAAAUAGUAAAUCAGUAAGUCACUUCUAAAUUUAAAGAAAACAAAAUUGGAGUUGAAGAAUAAGUAGGUUUCCAAUUGGCUAUUGCCAUUUUUCUUUGAAAAAAUAAACAUUUUUUUAAAAACUAUGCAUGGUUGUCCUUUUUCCUCUUCAUGUAAGUUGAUUUUAACUGGGUGACUAGUGUUAUCAGUUAAUACCUUAAAUUGAUAAGUAAGGUAAGGUCUGACCCCAUUUAUGUGUCAGUAAAUUAAAAGUUCUUGAAAGGCAAUCUCUAAUAAAUGGUAUCAGCCACCUUUUACUGUCAAUUGUUAAAGUCUUAAGGGAAAAAUAAGAAGAGGUGGGAGUAAGUUAUUUAAUGUGGUAAAUGAGAGGGUGGUCUUUAGAAGAUAAACUUCCAUUACUGUGAUAGAAGUGAUUAAAGGCUUAGAGAUACUACUUAUUUUGGGUGAUCAUCUAGACAGUAUAGGCAUUUGUGCAAAAUUGGGUGGUGACUAGUAAGUCAGUGUUCGCUUGGGGAUAGCAUUUGAGAUUCUCAGUGAAACUUAUGUCAAAAAUUGGUAAGUAUUAAAUGUUAAUUCAGCAUAGAUCUAUUUGAACAAUUACCACAAAUCACAUUUACCUUGUGAAAUGUGAGUGAUAUACUAGAGUGAAUCAUUAAUAAAAAGCUGGGGCCAUUCUUCAGAGUUUUGUCUUGUAAAUCCUUCUGAAGCAUAAGGUAAUUCUGCACCCAAAACAUACCAAAGCAGUGGUUAUAUCUUGGGGUUUGUUUUUGUGCCUAUACUGGACAGCCCCUUGAUGCUAAAUUUUUUAAUUGUUUAGGGUAUGGGAUGAGAGUUUUACUUAAAAUUCCUAAUGUCUUUUUUUCUCAUACUUGGAUUGGUAGUCACAACUAUCAAACCACUUUUCUGCAACCCAAGAGGAAUCACUGGCUUUCAGCAUUUCCCUUGGGCGCUUAAUCAUAGUUGCAUGCUGAAUUUAAGAUUGUUCAGGCGACAGUUUGAAACCUAGGUAAACCAAAAUUAAUCUUGAAAAUGGGCCCCAAGAAAAAUUUGCAUGAAGUCACUCAACCAAUAUAUUUAAAUGAACCUUGUGGAAUGUCAGGUGGAAGAGAAGGUUCCACACACUGAUAAAUAGGUCUUUUUCUAGUACUGAUUUAAGAAGAUAGGCCAAGAAACGAAGAUUUACUAUUUAAAGCUAAAUUUCUGAAGAAUUGAGAAUUUUACAUGAUAUGCUUAAGUUUUUUUCAAGUGGCUGAAAGAAAAAUGGGAAAGUUAAUAUGACCUAGACAUGUUAUUUGUGUUCAUUGAAUGUUCUAGAAACAACUAAAAUGGAAAUGACCUUCAUUCAAGGUUGAGUGUGUGUAAGCUAAAUUGAAAGAUGCACUCAUACAAAGAGUUUUGGUAGUUCAAGCCCCAAGGUAAAAUAGGAAGGAAGUAGUCCUUGCCUGGUUCACAGGCUGUUUGAAGAUUAGAGAGAACUUAGUGCGUCUGAGGAAACGUAGAGGAACGUAGGUUGUGCCCAGAAGGUGACGAGGCUGCUGCUCUUCUAGUCGGUUAGGAAAGGAGCCAUAGACUGUCCAUGUUGGGAGCUAUUAGAGGAGAGUCGUGCGCUUUGGGGACUACAAAGGCUGGCUACAAAAGUUUUCCCACUUUUCCGCGUAUUGAUGUUCCUGUAGAAUAUUUUAGGGAGCCUGUGAUUAGUUUGUUAUUUUCUAACCAAGGAGAAAUUUAAAUCUUUUUAAGAAGCAAUUAUUUUUCAUAACAUCAGAUUGAAUAACCCAUCUUGCUGUUCAGCCCACAUCCUGGAAACAAAAGGCUGGAGGUUCCCUGUGUUACCUGCUUUUGCUACUGAUCCAAAUUGCAGAACUUCUCAUUCAUCCUCAAGGCCUCCAGGCAGUAUCCAGUGGGGAAUCAUCCCUAAAAGGAACCAGACCAGCAUUUUCCAGCCUCUUCAUUCCUGCCACUUCUAUGUGAGGAAAGGAUAGAAAGCAUUCAGGACCUCAUCAUACAGGCUCAUCUACAAAGUUCCAGUAGCAGUGACGCCUACACGGAAGACUUGGAACCGCAAACUGAGGUUGGGGCCACCUCAGUGACAUUCCCUGAUACAAGUUCGAUUUUUGUUUUGAGGGAUGAAGAAGGAAGCAGAUUGUACUAUACUAAAGGACUAAAAUAAUUUCCUUGCUUA